GCUUUUCCAUGCAAUCAGCAUUAGGGUUUUAAACCCUAAAAUGAAUUUUUCCUUUGGUCAGCAUUAGGGUUUUAAACCCUAAACUGAAUUUUUCCUUUAGUUAGCAUUAGGGUUUUAAACCCUAAACUGAACUUUUUUCCAUUCAGCCAGCAUUAGGGUUUUAAACCCUAAACUGAGCUUUUCCAUGCAAUCAACAUUAGGGUUUUAAACCCUAAACUGAAUUUUUCCUUUAAUCAGCAUUAAGGUUUUAAACCCUAAACUGAAUUUUUUCUUUAGUCAGCAUUAGGGUUUUAAACCCUAAACUGAACCUUUUUUCAUUCAGCCAGCAUUAAGGUUUUAAACCCUAAACUGAGCUUUUCCAUGCAAUCAGCACUAGGGUUUUAAACCCUAAACUGAAUUAUUCCUUUAAUCAGCAUUAGGGUUUUAAACCCUAAACUGAAUUUUUCCUUUAGUCAGCAUUAGGGUUUUAAACCCUAAACUGAACUUUUUUCCAUUCAACCAGCAUUAGGGUUGUAAACCCUAAACUGAGCUUUUCCAUGCAAUCAACAUUAGUGUUUUAAACCCUAAACUGAAUUUUUCCUUUAAUCAGCAUUAGGGUUUUAAACCCUAAACUGAAUUUUUCCUUUAGUCAGCAUUAGGGUUUUAAACCCUAAACUGAACCUUUUUUCAUUCAGCCAACAUUAGGGUUUUAAACCCUAAACUGAGCAUUUCCAUGCAAUCAGCAUUAGGGUUUUAACCCUAAACUGAAUUUUUCCUUUAGUCAGCAUUAGGGUUUUAAACCCUAAAUUGAAUUUUCCUUUAGUCAUCAUUAGGGUUUUAAACCCUAAACUGAACUUUUUCCAUUCAGCCAGCAUUAGGGUUUUAAACACUAAACUGAGCUUUUCCAUGCAAUUAGCAUUAGGGUUUUAAACCCUAAACUGAAUUUUUCCUUUGGUCAGCAUUAGGGUUUUAAACCCUAAACUAAAUUUUUCCUUUAGUCAGCAUUAGGGUUUUAAACCCUAAACUGAACUUUUUCCAUUCAGCCAGCAUUAGGGUUUUAAACCCUAAAUUGAGCUCUUCCAUGCAGUCAGCAUUAGGGUUUUAAACCCUAAACUGAAUUUUCCUUUAGUCAGCAUUAGGGUUUUAAACCCUAAACUGAACGUUUUCCAUUCAGUCAGCAUUAGGGUUUUAAACCCUAAACUGAACUCUUUCCUUUAGUCAGCAUUAGGGUUUUAAACCCUAAACUGAACUUUUUCCAUCCAGUCAGCAUUAGAGUUUUAAACCCUAAACUGAACUCUUUCCAUUCAGUCA
This 1290-nucleotide long non-coding RNA is filed under the name Nicotiana tabacum (common tobacco). Its description in RNAcentral is "long non-coding RNA (NTAB_LNC009345)". The record is from RNAcentral. Lineage: Eukaryota; Viridiplantae; Streptophyta; Magnoliopsida; Solanales; Solanaceae.